Molecule: ribosomal RNA, 482 nt
Filed under: uncultured bacterium
Lineage: Bacteria
Description: partial 16S ribosomal RNA
Rfam family: Bacterial small subunit ribosomal RNA
Source: RNAcentral
AUUGAACGCUGGCGGCAUGCCUUACACAUGCAAGUCGAACGGUAACGGGCCUUCGGGUGCCGACGAGUGGCGAACGGGUGAGUAAUACAUCGGAACGUGCCCGAUCGUGGGGGAUAACGAGGCGAAAGCUUUGCUAAUACCGCAUACGAUCUACGAAUGAAAGCAGGGGACCGCAAGGCCUUGCGCGGACGGAGCGGCCGAUGGCAGAUUAGGGAGUUGGUGGGAUAAAAGCUUACCAAGCCGACGAUCUGUAGCUGGUCUGAGAGGAUGAUCAGCCACACUGGGACUGAGACACGGCCCAGACUCCUACGGGAGGCAGCAGUGGGGAAUUUUGGACAAUGGGCGCAAGCCUGAUCCAGCCAUGCCGCGUGCAGGAUGAAGGCCUUCGGGUUGUAAACUGCUUUUGUACGGAACGAAAAGCCUUCUUUUAAUACAGGAGGGUCAUGACGGUACCGUAAGAAUAAGCACCGGCUAACUACGUG